UGAAACCGUUUAGGGGUAAACCUGAGAAACCCGAAAGUUCGAAGGGAGAAAUUCAUUCGCGUCUCGACGACGGCUUCGGAUGGUUACGCGACGGGAACGUUUCGGCGUUCUACGCGCGUUUCCUCCGAUGAACCGACGGCGAACGCGUGCACUUUUCUCCUGGUAGGACGUCGCGAUCCGUCGGGUGUCGAUCUACGAUCCGCGGUGGAGCCCGUUGGCGGCGUUUCGGCGCUCGUCGACGGACCCGUGAAAUCCGGUCGACUCGCUCGACGGUAUACGAACGGUUGGAGGCCGCUUUUUAGCGUUCGACCGAUGGCAAGCACGCCGGACUUGUCGGCGAUCGGACACCGUGCCGAUUCCGACAUCCGGUGACUGUUGGCCGUCGUGUUCUCGGACAGACCUCUCCAAAUUAAAAACCGAUCUGCGACGCUAUAGCUUUGGGUAAUUUCAGGACCCGUCUUGAAACACGGACCAAGGAGUCUAGCAUGUACGCGAGUCAUUGGGAAUCGAUAAACCUAAAGGCGAAAUGAAAGUGAAGAUCUUCCUUGCGGAGAUCGAGGGAAGACGGGUGGUAUCGUCCUUAAAAACGUACCGCCUUGCAUUCCCGGGGCGUCUCGUUCUCAUUGCGAGAUGAGGCGCACCAAGAGCGUACACGCUGGGACCCGAAAGAUGGUGAACUAUGCCUGGUCAGGAUGAA
This 697-nucleotide ribosomal RNA is filed under the name Corthylus papulans. RNAcentral's name for it is "partial large subunit ribosomal RNA". It matches the Rfam family "Eukaryotic large subunit ribosomal RNA", at positions 400 to 850 of the family's 3401-position model. Lineage: Eukaryota; Metazoa; Arthropoda; Insecta; Coleoptera; Curculionidae. The record is from RNAcentral.